RNAcentral lists this ribosomal RNA (253 nucleotides) under uncultured bacterium. RNAcentral's name for it is "partial 16S ribosomal RNA". It matches the Rfam family "Bacterial small subunit ribosomal RNA", at positions 524 to 776 of the family's 1533-position model. The record is from RNAcentral.
UACAGAGGUGGCAAGCGUUGUUCGGAAUUACUGGGCGUAAAGGGCGCGUAGGCGGCCCUCUAAGUCAGACGUGAAAUCCCCCGGCUUAACCUGGGAACUGCGUCUGAUACUGGGGGGCUAGAGUUUGGGAGAGGGAUGUAGAAUUCCAGGUGUAGCGGUGAAAUGCGUAGAUAUCUGGAGGAAUACCGGUGGCGAAGGCGGCAUCCUGGACCAAUACUGACGCUGAGGCGCGAAAGCUAGGGGAGCAAACAGG